CUGAUGCAGCGACGCCGCGUGCGGGAUGACGGCCUUCGGGUUGUAAACCGCUUUUGACAGGGACGAAGCGUAAGUGACUGUACCUGUAGAAUAAGGACCGGCCAACUACGUGCCAGCAGCCGCGGUAAUACGUAGGGUCCGAGCGUUGUCCGGAAUUACUGGGCGUAAAGAGCUUGUAGGCGGUUCGUCGCGUCGUUUGUGAAAACUUGGGGCUCAACCUUAAGCUUGCAGGCGAUACGGGCGGACUAGAGUACUUCAGGGGAGACUGGAAUUCCUGGUGUAGCGGUGAAAUGCGCAGAUAUCAGGAGGAACACCGGUGGCGAAGGCGGGUCUCUGGGAAGUAACUGACGCUGAGAAGCGAAAGCAUGGGUAGCAAACAGGAUUAGAUACCCUGGUAGUCCAUGCCGUAAACGGUGGGUACUAGGUGUGGGGCUCCUUCCACGGACUCCGUGCCGUAGCUAACGCAUUAAGUACCCCGCCUGG
Molecule: ribosomal RNA, 483 nt
Filed under: Nocardia ignorata
Lineage: Bacteria; Bacillati; Actinomycetota; Actinomycetes; Mycobacteriales; Nocardiaceae
Description: bacterial SSU rRNA
Rfam family: Bacterial small subunit ribosomal RNA
Source: RNAcentral